CCUACGGGUGGCAGCAGUAGGGAAUCUUCCACAAUGGGCGAAAGCCUGAUGGAGCAACGCCGCGUGGGUGAAGAAGGUCUUCGGAUCGUAAAACCCUGUUGUUAGAGAAGAAAGUGCGUGAGAGUAACUGUUCACGUCUCGACGGUAUCUAACCAGAACGCCACGGCUAACUGCGUGCCAGCAGCCGCGGCAAUACGGAGGUGGCAAGCGUUCUGCGGCUUUAUUGGGCGUAAAGGGAACGCAGGCGGCCUGUUAAGUCCGAUGUGCAAGCCGUCGGCUUAACCGGAGUAGUGCAUUGGAAACUGGGGGACUUGAGUGCGGAAGAGGAGAGUGGAACGCCAUGUGUAGAGGUGAAAUGCGUAGAUAGAUGGAAGAACACCAGGGGCGAAGGCGGCUCUCGGGUCUGUAACUGACGCUGAGGUGCGAAAGCGUGGGUAGCAAACAGGAUUAGAUACCCUGGUAGUG
This 465-nucleotide ribosomal RNA is filed under the name uncultured bacterium. RNAcentral's name for it is "partial 16S ribosomal RNA". It matches the Rfam family "Bacterial small subunit ribosomal RNA", at positions 338 to 795 of the family's 1533-position model. The record is from RNAcentral.